RNAcentral lists this ribosomal RNA (410 nucleotides) under uncultured bacterium. RNAcentral's name for it is "bacterial SSU rRNA". It matches the Rfam family "Bacterial small subunit ribosomal RNA", at positions 28 to 417 of the family's 1533-position model. The record is from RNAcentral.
GACGAACGCUGGCGGCGUGCCUAACACAUGCAAGUCGAACGAAGUUUUUAUGGAAUGCGACUUCGGUCAAAUGAAGUUUAAACUUAGUGGCGGACGGGUGAGUAACGCGUGAGCAACCUGCCUUUCAGAGGGGGACAACAGAGGGAAACUUCUGCUAAUACCGCAUAACGUGUUUUGAGGGCAUCCUCGAAACACCAAAGAUUUAUCGCUGAAAGAUGGGCUCGCGUCUGAUUAGCUAGUUGGUGAGGUAACGGCUCACCAAGGCGACGAUCAGUAGCCGGACUGAGAGGUUGAUCGGCCACAUUGGGACUGAGAUACGGCCCAGACUCCUACGGGAGGCAGCAGUGGGGAAUAUUGGGGCAAUGGGGGGAAACCCUGACCCAGCAACGCCGCGUGAAGGAAGAAGGCCU